AUUGAACGCUGGCGGCAGGCCUAACACAUGCAAGUCGAACGAGUGGCGGACGGGUGAGUAAUGUCUGGGAAACUGCCCGAGGGAGGGGGAUAACUACUGGAAACGGUAGCUAAUACCGCAUACCCUCGGAUGUGCCCAGAUGGGAUUAGCGAGUAGGUGGGGUAAAGGCUCACCUAGGCGACGAUCCCUAGCGGGUCUGAGAGGAGGACCAGCAACACUGGAACGGAGACACGGUCCAGACUCCUACGUGAGGCAGCAGUGGGGAAUAUUGCACAUUGGGCGCAAGCCUGAUGCAGCCAUGCCGCGUGUAUGAAGAAGGCCUUCGGGUUGUAAAGUACUUUCAGCGAGGAGGCGUUACUCGCAGAAGAAGCACCGGCUAACUCCGUGCCAGCCGCCGCGGUAAUUC
This 406-nucleotide ribosomal RNA is filed under the name uncultured bacterium. Its description in RNAcentral is "partial 16S ribosomal RNA". It matches the Rfam family "Bacterial small subunit ribosomal RNA", at positions 30 to 526 of the family's 1533-position model. The record is from RNAcentral.